GUUAUAAUUCUAGCCUACAAACGAACAAACACCUACUAAACCCCUAAACAAACCAUUUAACUAAAUAGUAUGGGCGAUAGAAAUUUAUAAUUGAGCAAUAGAAAAAGUACUGCAAAGGAAAGAUGAAAUAAAAAUUAAAUAAAUAACAAAAACAAAUAAAAGAAAAGACUAAAACUUGUACCUUUUGCAUAAUGGUCUAGCAAGUUAAACCUGACAAAAAGAAAUAAAGUUAGCCCCCCCGAAACUAGACGAGCUACUCAAAAGCAGCAUACUAGAGCCAACCCCUCUCUGUGGCAAAAGAGUGGGAUGACUUCUGAGUAGAGGUGAUAAGCCUAACGAGCCUAGUGAUAGCUGGUUGCUUGAGAAAUGAAUCUUAGUUCAGCUUAAAGUGCCUUUAAAUUAAUAAAAAAUUAAAAUAGCACCUUAAAGUUACUUAAUAGAGGUACAGCUCUAUUAAUAAAGGACACAACCUACAACAUAAAUAAAGAUUAUAUUAAUUAAAGAAAUUAGCCACGUAGGCUUAAAAGCAGCCACCACAAGAAAGCGUCAAAGCUCAACUUAAUAAUACCUUAUUAUCCUAAUAAAAAAAUCUAAAUUUACAAAAUAUAUCAAGCCUAUCUAUACAAUAGAUGAGUUUAUACUAGAAUGAGUAAUAAGACCCUCCUCUCUUUAUAUGCAUGUGUAAAUCAGAACGAAAAAAUCACUGAUAAAUAACGAUUAACUAUACCACACAACAAGAAAAAUAAAUUUAGCCUACCGUUAACCCAACACAGGAGCAUAAAAGAAAGAUUAAAAGAUUAAAAAGGAACUCGGCAACCAAGAACUUCGCCUGUUUACCAAAAACAUCGCCUCUUGCAAUACAAAGUAUAAGAGGUCCCGCCUGCCCAGUGACAAUUUCAACGGCCGCGGUAUCAUGACCGUGCAAAGGUAGCGUAAUCACUUGUCUUUUAAAUAAAGACCUGUAUGAAAGGCAAAACGAAAGUUCAACUGUCUCUUUAAUCUAAUCAAUGAAAUUAAUCUUUCCGUGCAGAAGCGGAAAUAAAAAUAUAAGACGAGAAGACCCUAUGGAGCUUUAAAUAUAAAAUUAACUAUACCACUAAACGACAAAUCCACGGAUAAAAUAAAACAUUAGUUAUAAUUUGAAUUUUCGGUUGGGGCGACCACGGAGAAAAAACAAUCCUCCGAGAUAAAAAUUUAGAAUUACACUUCAAAAAUUAAAACAUUUAUUAUAAAUGAUCCACUAAGUGACCAACGAACCAAGUUACCCUAGGGAUAACAGCGCAAUCCUUUCUAAGAGUCCAUAUCGACGAAUGGGUUUACGACCUCGAUGUUGGAUCAGGACAUCCUAAUGGUGCAGCCGCUAUUAAAGGUUCGUUUGUUCAACGAUUAAAGUCCUACGUGAUCUGAGUUCAGACCGGAGAAAUCCAGGUCAGUUUCUAUCUAUAAAAAAUUUUUUCUAGUACGAAAGGACCGAAAAAAUAGAGCCUCUUGAAAACAAAGCUCUUAUAUUAUUGAAAACAAAUAAAAUAAUACAUAAAAUACACCUCUAGUACAGAGCAA
This 1560-nucleotide ribosomal RNA is filed under the name Notophthalmus meridionalis kallerti. RNAcentral describes it as "16S ribosomal RNA". It matches the Rfam family "Bacterial large subunit ribosomal RNA". Lineage: Eukaryota; Metazoa; Chordata; Amphibia; Caudata; Salamandridae. The record is from RNAcentral.